Nothoprocta perdicaria is the source of this 1557-nucleotide long non-coding RNA. RefSeq lists it as uncharacterized. NCBI's taxonomy places the organism in Eukaryota, Metazoa, Chordata, Aves, Tinamiformes, Tinamidae. The record is from RefSeq and is a predicted model, not a curated record. The transcript is spliced from 3 exons.
UAUUUUUUUUUUGCACUGGUGGGUAGCACAAGGAGAUCUUGCACGGCAGUCUUUUGUGAGAGGGAGCUUCACUGUCUUUUUGUUGCUUCGAAGGGAAGAGACCAUGCAAGCCAAGGCCCUUCUCCAAGGCUAACACCUCCAGAAUAUUACUCAGCCAGUGUACCCUACAGUUUUCCUAGUAAGGAGCCCCUCACAAAGAAGGGGAUGGGACCAUCUUCUCCUCCCGUCCCUGGGUUUUCUGACUGCUGCAGCUGGUUUCAUCUGUCACCAUGUUGAUCCAGCCCCAUGGAAAGGAAACUCCACCUGUAAUUCCUGUAAACCUGGAGAAGAGGAAAUUCUGCAAGCCCAGAAACUCCAAAGGAGGAGAUAUAUUUAAUAUAGUAAAUAUGGAGUCACCUGAAGGUGCUGGAUAAUGCACUGGACUCUCUAUGCUUCAGCUACAUCAUUUCUUUAGAUAAGAUAUAAGGAACAGAUUAAACCAUUAUUUGGGGGAAACCAUUUAUUAGAUUUCUUUGACAGAAUGGACAGAUCCUGGUUGAGCUGUGGCUGAAAAGUUUAGCUUGCCUAACAUUUCUGAAGAGAAGCUUGAACUUGUAUCUCCAAAAUGGAAGUAUGACAUCUUAACUGCUUUGGCCUUCUUCACAUGCUAAAUGGAGGAUAGUGAAAUUAAUACCAGGCACAAUUAAAGGAAUAUUAAAGCURGUUUUGAUAGUAAGGAACAGUUAAAAGGAAAUAUUAUAAAUCUUUAGCCUGGAACAAUUAAAACCAGUUUGUUCGCAGUUGUAGGAUAUGUGUUUUUGGAAGGUACUUUGUGCAGCUAAAGCCUGGACUAGAUGAUUGUAGCAAGACUUAUAUAUUCCCUUAAAAAAUCUUUUUCUUUUUUUCCAAAAGCAGGAGAAAAAUCUUACCUGUCUUCUCAACGAAGAUGAGUUACAAGGAGAGAUGGUGUCUAGUGUUAUGGUCGUAACAGUGGCAAGCAGUCCCAUGAUGUCUAUUUAAGAAGGUGUCCUUUGAAGAGGUCUCUCUCCAAGUGGGGAAUCUGUCCCUCUUGGCAACAGAAAUGCAAUUGGCUUCACCACGUAGCCAAGUGAACUUGAGCUCAAACAGAAACACCGCAAUCAAAGUGAAAUGUAGGUAUAGCCUAAAAGGCUUCAGUCCUACUUGGAUGUCUUGGUGAGAAAAAGCCACUUGGAAGAGGUUUUCUAUUCAGUGAUGUAGACAYAUCUAUUUGGGAAAUUAUUUGGGAGAGGCAGUAUGGAUCAAGCAGCAAAGAUGUUCCUGUAAAAGGAGUCAGUUUGAUAACUUUUCUAAUUAGAGUAAUGGCUAAGCAUUAGAAAAUAUUAUUAGGGAAGAUGGUGGAAUCUCUGUUCAUUAAUUUAAAAGAAUAAAAAAAUAUAUCAGGAUUGAUCUCGCAUUGUGGGUAGGGUCUCUUUUGGCACAUAUUUAGUCCAUAAGCUGUACGAACAGGUAACUUCUUUAAGGAGAUAUUCUGUGCAGAUAAUGAACCUCUAUGAUCUCAUCUCUUAACAGUGCAGACCAGAAGUCUUAAUUAUUUUC